Molecule: ribosomal RNA, 82 nt
Filed under: Paraclostridium bifermentans
Lineage: Bacteria; Bacillati; Bacillota; Clostridia; Peptostreptococcales; Peptostreptococcaceae
Source: RNAcentral
CAUUCCGAACACAGAAGUUAAGCUCUUUAGCGCCGAUGGUACUUGGUGGGAAGCUGCCUGGGAGAGUAGGACGUAGCUAGGU